AGAAAACCCCUGUUUAAAAUGUGAGGGAGCGAUCCCUUCAUAUUUCCCAACUCUUACUAUGCAAUACGGCGGAUAAAAGACAACUCAAUUCUUUGCUCAAGGGCUCUCAGAUAGAACGUGAGCCAUGGCGGAACAUCAAACCACAGGGAAAG
Eurytemora carolleeae is the source of this 152-nucleotide long non-coding RNA. RefSeq lists it as uncharacterized. Lineage: Eukaryota; Metazoa; Arthropoda; Copepoda; Calanoida; Temoridae. The record is from RefSeq and is a predicted model, not a curated record. The transcript is spliced from 3 exons.